Oreochromis aureus is the source of this 1100-nucleotide long non-coding RNA. NCBI's taxonomy places the organism in Eukaryota, Metazoa, Chordata, Actinopteri, Cichliformes, Cichlidae. The record is from Ensembl.
AAGUUGACGGAUUGAAGGUGAAAAGGGAGAUUAAACACACAUCCAAGCGUGCACGACACACAGGACAGCUAAAGCAGCCAAACACAGACUGGACUCUCACGAAGAACCAAAACUCCUCUAUUAAAAGUUACAAUUCCAUAAACAUGGAUGGCACCCUCAUGCGAAAAGCCAUGCAUGCAGACCCAGAAAACUAUGUCACCUCAAUGGCACCUGGACAAUACUGGACCUGGGGUACUCACAUGAGAGGCAUGAAAGAUUAUAAAAUGUCUCCUUCACCCAGUGGGAUCCCCUCUCGCCCCUGGACUCCUCGGUGUACACCUCCUCCCCAGCAGCAGCAGCCUUCAAUCCCCUCCCACCCGCACCCACACCCACCACCCGAUUACCACCACAAUGUGUACAUCCCUGGGACGCCAUCAGGCUUUUGCACCCUGAGGCCCGCCGCACAGCGAAGCGACCUAGAUGUCCACAAUUCAUUCUCAACUUUUGGCAAGAAGCGACGUCUCCAGAUGUCCCCCCAGGGAGAGACUGCGAUCAUAAAUAAUGACCUGUACAAUGACUGACUUUUCAAUAACUGCCCUAGUGGAUGAUUAAAAAGAUGGAUAACCUCAUAUGAAAACAGAGGUAGAGCCCAUCCAGUACAUAAAUUAAUGAACAUAUGAUUUAUAAGUGGUAUGAAAAUAGAAAGGGAAAGAGGAAUAAUGAAUGGACAAUCUGUUUUGAAGAAGGAUAAUGAAGGUCUGAUGGCUAUUUAUUUGACAUGCCACUGCAACAUUGUCAGCAUAUGUGUCUGUUUUUAUUAUUAGAAUUAUCAUUAUUAUUAUUUAGACAAUCAAACUGGAGCAGCAGUUACAUCCAAAAUAGUUUUCGAAAAAGCAUUCGUGGACAAUAAUUUUGCACAUCUUUAUGAAUUUAUAUUUUUUGGUUACAUGAAAAAGAAGACGUGCUUUUCCUUUUUGUAUCUUUGUUUGCUAACAGAGCUUGUGUGAAUAUGACAAACAGUAAGUAUGUAUAUGCAAGCUGCACCAUGAAGCAGACUACUGUAAUGGCAGGGGAGGGUUCCUUCCUUUACACAUGUACUGUAUACAUUUAUGAAAAUAAAG